AACGUAGGUGGCAAGCGUUAUCCGGAUUUACUGGGCGUAAAGCGUGCGCAGGCGGUUUUGUAAGUCUGACGUGAAAUCCCCGGGCUCAACCUGGGAAUUGCGUUGGAGACUGCAAGGCUGGAGUCUGGCAGAGGGGGGUAGAAUUCCACGUGUAGCAGUGAAAUGCGUAGAGAUGUGGAGGAACACCGAUGGCGAAGGCAGCCCCCUGGGUCAAGACUGACGCUCAUGCACGAAAGCGUGGGGAGCAAACAGG
This 253-nucleotide ribosomal RNA is filed under the name uncultured bacterium. Its description in RNAcentral is "partial 16S ribosomal RNA". It matches the Rfam family "Bacterial small subunit ribosomal RNA", at positions 524 to 776 of the family's 1533-position model. The record is from RNAcentral.